GUGCUUACUUUGACAGCACAUAUAAAAUGAGAACAAUAUAGAGAUUGGCCUGUUCCCUGGGCAAAGAUGACAUGUAAGUUUGUGAACCAGUCUAUAUUUUA
Dipodomys ordii (Ord's kangaroo rat) is the source of this 101-nucleotide small nuclear RNA. NCBI's taxonomy places the organism in Eukaryota, Metazoa, Chordata, Mammalia, Rodentia, Heteromyidae. The record is from Ensembl.